UUUUCCUUGUGUCAUUUAGNGAAGUAUAGGUCGUAACCACGAUCUCCAUAGGUGAACCAUGCGCAUGGAUCAUUA
RNAcentral lists this ribosomal RNA (75 nucleotides) under Inosperma cervicolor. RNAcentral describes it as "partial 18S ribosomal RNA". The record is from RNAcentral. Lineage: Eukaryota; Fungi; Basidiomycota; Agaricomycetes; Agaricales; Inocybaceae.